UUUCGCAAUGCCCGAAAGGGUGACGAAGCGACGCCGCGUGCGGGAAGAAGGCCUUCGGGUUGUAAACCGCUGUCGGGAGUUAAGAAAUGUAAGGAUGUUAAUAGCAUCUUUGCUUGACUAAGGCUCCGGAGGAAGCCACGGCUAACUCUGUGCCAGCAGCCGCGGUAAUACAGAGGCGGCAAGCGUUGUUCGGAAUUAUUGGGCGUAAAGAGCACGUAGGCGGCUAUGUAAGCCGGUUGUGAAAGCCUUCCGCUCAACGGGAGAACAGCAUCCGAUACUGCAUGGCUUGAGUGCGGGAGGGGAGAGUGGAACUUCUGGUGGAGCGGUGAAAUGCGUAGAUAUCAGAAGGAACGCCGGGGCGAAAGCGGCUCUCUGGCCCAUAACUGACGCUGAGUGUGCGAAAGCUAGGGGAGCAAACGGGAUUAGAUACCCCGGUAGUCCUAGCCGUAAACGAUGGGCACUAAGUAGAGGGGUUUU
This 477-nucleotide ribosomal RNA is filed under the name uncultured Planctomycetales bacterium. RNAcentral describes it as "bacterial SSU rRNA". It matches the Rfam family "Bacterial small subunit ribosomal RNA", at positions 364 to 832 of the family's 1533-position model. Lineage: Bacteria; Pseudomonadati; Planctomycetota; Planctomycetia; Planctomycetales. The record is from RNAcentral.